RNAcentral lists this ribosomal RNA (335 nucleotides) under Elasmostethus interstinctus. RNAcentral describes it as "eukaryotic LSU rRNA". It matches the Rfam family "Eukaryotic large subunit ribosomal RNA", at positions 679 to 966 of the family's 3401-position model. The record is from RNAcentral. Lineage: Eukaryota; Metazoa; Arthropoda; Insecta; Hemiptera; Acanthosomatidae.
CGUGUGCGCGAGUCAUUGGGUUCUAAACCUAAAGGCGCAAUGAAAGUGUCAGGGGGGCCUCCUAAGGGGGGUCUCCCCGCAGGGAGGAUGGGCCACCGCACACCUGUUGUCGGAGCCCCGCACUCCCGGGGCGUCUCGUCCUCAUCACGAGUAGAGACGCACCAGGAGCGCACACGCUGGUACCCGAAAGAUGGUGAACUAUGCCUGGCCAGGACGAAGCCAGGGGAAACCCUGGUGGAGGUCCGAAGCGAUUCUGACGUGCAAAUCGAUCGUAUGAGCUGGGUAUAGGGGCGAAAGACCAAUCGAACCAUCUAGUAGCUGUUUUCCUUCCGAAA